This 463-nucleotide ribosomal RNA is filed under the name uncultured bacterium. RNAcentral's name for it is "partial 16S ribosomal RNA". It matches the Rfam family "Bacterial small subunit ribosomal RNA", at positions 28 to 507 of the family's 1533-position model. The record is from RNAcentral.
GAUGAACGCUGACAGAAUGCUUAACACAUGCAAGUCUUUGGUGAAGCUGUGCUUGCACAGCCUAGCCAAGGCGGACGGGUGAGUAACGCGUAAGGAACUUGCCCUGCAGUCAGGGAUAACAGACGGAAACGACUGAUAAGACCUGGUAAAGUCAGGCGGACUCAUGUCCAGCCUGAUGAAAAGAGAUGCUGCAGGAGAGCCUUGCGUCCUAUUAGCUUGUUGGUGGGGUAACGGCCCACCAAGGCAAUGAUAGGUAGCCGGCCUGAGAGGGUGGACGGCCACAAGGGGACUGAGAUACGGCCCUGACUCCUACGGGAGGCAGCAGUGGGGAAUAUUGGACAAGGGGGGCAACCCUGAUCCAGCAAUUCUGUGUGCACGAUGAAGGUUUUCGGAUUGUAAAGUGCUUUCAGCAGGGAAGAAAAAAAUGACGGUACCUGCAGAAGAAGCGACGGCUAAAUACGUG